Molecule: non-coding RNA, 3295 nt
Organism: Callithrix jacchus (white-tufted-ear marmoset)
Lineage: Eukaryota; Metazoa; Chordata; Mammalia; Primates; Cebidae
Source: RefSeq, a predicted model, not a curated record
UGCCAUGUGUGUUCCUACGCAACUGUCUUGCAUGCUCUGCUCAUGUACCCCAAAACCUAAAAUCCAAUAAAAAAUUAAAAUAAAUAAAUAAAUAAAUAAAAAUAAAAAUAUUUUAAUAUUUUAAUAAUUCUAUCUUAUCUCCACUCUUUAAUUUUUCUAGUGAUUACUCCAGGGUUUACAAUAUGCACCUUUAAGUUACCAUAGUCUUCUUCCAGACAUUAUUAUAUAACUUCUCCUCUAGGGUAAGAACCUUGAAACACUGUAUAUGUUUUUCCAGCUCUCAUUUAUUUCCUACUCCCAUAUUAUUGUUGCUACACAUUUCACUUCUGCAUAUAACCCCAACAUACAUAGCUAGUAUUUUGCUUUAGAUCAGGGGGCAGAAAAGUAUGACUUGCAAGCCAAAUCUUGCCCAUGGCCUGUUUAUAUUAUACAGUCUGUGAGCUAAGGUGAUGGGGAGGAAGGCAGCAAACCACAUUGCCAUGUAUGUACCUAUGCAACAAUCUUGCUGGCUCUUCACAUGUACCCCAAAACCUAAAAUGCAAUAAAAUAUGUAUUUUAAAAAAGAAUGGCUUUUAUAUUUGUAAAUUGUUAUAUAAACAACAAGAACAAGGAAGAAUAUAUAAUAGAGACCUUAUAUGGCUCACAAAGCUCAAAUAUUAUCUGGCCAUUUACAGAAAACCUUUUUCAGUUUCUUUUACAGAUACUAAAAUUAACAAAAUUAUCUUUUAUAUAUACUCUUAUUUUUAUUAUUUUUAAUAGUCUUCAUUUCUUUAAUGUAGAUGCAACUAUAUAAGAGAAGCAUACUAUCUUUUCUGGUGAACUUGAACCCAAAGGAUGUGAGCCUGGAGUUGCAGAGGCCUUGAUAAAGGGCUUCAGGAUGAGGCUGACAGAGAGAAGGCAAGACCCACAGACUAGGAAGAACUGGUCACAUCCUUUUUUUCUGAAGCCAGUCAAACAGCCACCCAAAAUGUGAAGAAACAGGUGCAUCCAGAGAGAUAUAGCUGUGAUCUGUUUACUGGGAGCAGAUGCUGCUGCAGCCGUAAACUGGUAAGAACAUUUAAUGAGGACUUUGUUGGAUUUCUGGAGGCUUAGUAUGGACCAGCAAAGACUUAAAAACUCCUGGGGGCUCAGCCUUUCGGGGCCCUAUACAUUUGUGGGUUUUACCUCCAGAGACCCUACAGGGUUCUCACUGUGAAAAUUAGAGAUAAAUCCCCUUGUAAUUUGCCCAGGGGGGAGGUACAUAAAACCAUAUUGAAAUACACCUUGGAAAAACCAGAUAUGUCAAGCUGAUAGUAUAUAUCCUUCAUAUAACGUGAUGAGAAUGGCGUUAUUCUUCUGUGCCCUUGUUCCCCAAAACUCAUAACCAUGAGAAAAACAUUGGACAGGUCUCAUUUGAGAGAUAGCUACAAAAUACCCCUCAAAACUCUCAUUAAAUAAAAGGAAAGUUUGAGAAACUGUCAUAGCCAUAAGGACCCUAAAGAGGCAUGAUAACUAAAUGUAAUGUGGUAUCCUGGAAUAGAAGAAGUCUGAAUCAAGUAUGGACUUUAGUUAAUAAUACUUCAAUAUUGGUUCAUUUGUUGUACAUAAAUGUCCUAGACAAAUAUAAGGUGCUAAUAAUAGAAAUUAGGUAUGAGGUACAUUCAAACUCUCAGUUCCAUUUUUGUAACUUUUCUGUAAAUCUAAAACUAUUAAAAAAGCAAUGGAUGAAAAUGUAAAUAAGAUUGAACCGGGUUCUGAAACAACUUCUUAAGCUCACAGUUUCUUGUGAAAUAUCUAUGUCAGUAAGUGAAAUUGAUUAUGCCCUAAGAAUAGUUAUUUGUCUCUGAAGGCCUUCUCUUUGACUUCUCAACUUGGGUGAGAAACCAGGAAGUUUUGAGGGAGAAAGUGGCCCCCGAUAUGGUCACUCAGACUGAUGAAUCAGCCCUUAAUAUUCUGCAGUGAUGGAUUUUUUAGAAAACAGUAUCAGGAAAUAAAUUCAGUCAUGAAGGAAAUGGACUUCUCUUGACUUACCAAUGUGACCAGAAGCACCACAGAUGUAGUUGAGUCUAAUUCUCUUACUUCCCACUUGAGGAUAUUGAGACCUGGGGGGAAUGCAUCCAUGUUAGAUUCAGGAUUAGAACUCAGUUUCCUUUGUCACCAAUUUCAAACAUUCAGUGAAAAUGAUGAUAGAGUGAACACCCUAUGCCCACCACUACCUACAUUGAUUCAAUGAUUAAUAUUUUGUCAUAUUUGCCACAUGUAUUUGCAAAACCAUUUAAACAUUUUGUGACACUUCAUCUCUAAAGAUUUCAGCAUAUAUUUCCUAGGAUCAGGAUAUUCUUUUAUAUACCCAUAACACCAUUAUAAAAAUAACUAAAAAUAAUUCCUUAAUGUAUCUAAUACCUAGUCCAUUUUCUAAAUUUUGAAAUGUGUGUCUCAAAAUGUCUUUUAUAUUUUUUUCCUCAAAUUAUGAUCUAGUCAAGAUAUCUCAGUGCAUUCAUUUUGUCUUUAUAAUCUCUGUUUGUCUGGAACAUUCCCCAAACAUUUCUUUUUGGAUGUUAAUGUUUUGUAAAAUGCCCCAUGGCAUACUAGGCAUACGAAUACAUGGCAUACGAAUCUGAGGCCUGAAGGUGAAUAAUUAUGUAUCAUCAGAUGAAGAAGUAUAGAAAAAGGAAAAAUGUUUUCUGAGCUUCUGUUUCUCUGUUCUGGCUACAAUCCCAGAAGUCAGAGGACCAACCUGUGUUACUGUGGAAGAGGACAGAAUAUUUGGUGCCCUUUCCCUGGCAAACAAAAAAGAUACCACCCUACAAUUGAAAGGGACAGUAUUUCUCUUAUUCCAAGUACAUUUGAGACAGAAAAUAAUGCAUUUCUUUUAAACGACAAGUAGUUGCAAAUGCAAAUUGAUAAAGAUCCACAUCUUUUUGGGAAGGAGUUAACAUAUCUCUUCACAGUCAUUCUGGGAUUAAAAGAAGAGGCCCUGUUUUUGCAUGGAGACAUAGAUACCUCCCAAAAGAUACUCACCCCUCCUGGUCUGUGGACUUUUGAAAAUUAGGACUGUAUUAUGUUCAAUUUUAUUUUCAGUGUCUAGCAGCUCAGUAAAUAUUAUUUGAAUGUAUCAGUCAGUUAUAAAGCCAAUUGAAUAAUAUUUGCAUUUCCAUAUUAAAUACUUUGUUGUGCAUAGCAACAACUUCUUUUCCUGAACUCCUCACCAUGCGUGUUCACUAUAUGCCCUGACACUAAGCCUUCUUUCUCAUGGUAUCUCUGCUGGAAAAAUAAUACAGAAAGUGUCCUGACACAGUGUUCCACUGUUCCCAAA